RNAcentral lists this ribosomal RNA (497 nucleotides) under uncultured bacterium. RNAcentral's name for it is "partial 16S ribosomal RNA". It matches the Rfam family "Bacterial small subunit ribosomal RNA", at positions 28 to 507 of the family's 1533-position model. The record is from RNAcentral.
GAUGAACGCUGGCGGCGUGCCUAAUACAUGCAAGUCGAGCGAACGGACGAGAAGCUUGCUUCUCUGAUGUUAGCGGCGGACGGGUGAGUAACACGUGGAUAACCUACCUAUAAGACUGGGAUAACUUCGGGAAACCGGAGCUAAUACCGGAUAAUAUUUUGAACCGCAUGGUUCAAAAGUGAAAGACGGUCUUGCUGUCACUUAUAGAUGGAUCCGCGCUGCAUUAGCUAGUUGGUAAGGUAACGGCUUACCAAGGCAACGAUGCAUAGCCGACCUGAGAGGGUGAUAGGCCACACGAGAACUGAGACACGGUCCAGACGCCUGCGGUACGCAGCAGUAGGGAAUCUUCCGCAAUAGUCGAGAGCCUGACGGAGCAACGCCGCGUGAGUUAUGAAGGUCUUCGGAUCGUAAAACUCUGUUAUUAGGGAAGAACAUAUGUGUAAGUAACUGUGCACAUCUUGACGGUACCUAAUCAGAAAGCCACGGCUAACUACGUG